GGGWGAAGUCGUAACAAGGUAGCCGUAGGGGAACCUGCGGCUGGAUCACCUCCUUUCUAGGGAGUGCUAUUCAUUACUCUUCGAAGUAGUGGAGAUGCCUCUUAGUUUUGCUCGCUCAGAGUACGAAUCCUAUUACGAUUGCUUAGAUGUUAUAUGCUCUUUGACAAUGGCAUAAGGACUGAGACCUAUUAUUGAGUUGAACAAGGGUCAAGCAUGUAAGAGCAUACAGUGGAUGCCUUGGCACGCGGAGGCGAUGAAGGACUGCUAA
Molecule: unclassified non-coding RNA, 268 nt
Filed under: uncultured bacterium
Lineage: Bacteria
Description: partial contains 16S ribosomal RNA, 16S-23S ribosomal RNA intergenic spacer, and 23S ribosomal RNA
Rfam family: Bacterial small subunit ribosomal RNA (bases 1-56)
Source: RNAcentral